Molecule: long non-coding RNA, 4200 nt
Filed under: Bemisia tabaci
Lineage: Eukaryota; Metazoa; Arthropoda; Insecta; Hemiptera; Aleyrodidae
Description: lncRNA ENSSSA1UGG011017
Source: RNAcentral
AUGGGAUUGAUACAUGCAUCAGCCGCAGAUUUUCGCAACCAGACCAUCAAGCACGGUAUACGCUUACCACGCUUAACACAUUUUACGAAUUAUAUACAAAAAUUGUACAUAUUAACAGAUUUACGAAUUAUAUACAAAAGGAAAAAUACUAAGGAAAUAAUUAAUUUACAUACUUAUAUUACAAAUUAUGUACAGAGGAAUGCGAAGGAUGCCUCGAGUUAGGAAGGAAUGCCUGCGAACAAAAAACAAACAAAAGAGAAAAUUAAAUGCUUGUUGUGCUAGAUUCAGUCAAGAAAAGCUCCGUUCAAGUUGGUUGGCGGAGAUUUAUUAGCGUUCGGAUGUUAUAAUAAUUAAUUCAAUUUCUCUCUUGAAAACAUUUCCAUAUGAUAGUUUCACCCCUGUUGAAUAAUCCGCACACCUGGUUGUAAUUUUUUUUUGUUUUACGAUUUUGUGAAAUUCAAGAUGCUGUAACUUACAGGAACAACGAAUGUUCUCGUUUAAAUCAGGGCCUAACUUAUAUGAUCUUUGGGCCCGGAGACGCAGUCAAUAAUGCUGCCGUGAUAGCGAGGAGAGCCGUAACUGCAAAAAUGAAGUUCUGAGAAAACGGGCUCAGAAGCUUCUGACCGGAACACUUUAUUGAAAGGAGCCUCCGUUCUUUGUCAAAUUGCCACCGUUCGUCCGGAAGACUCCUAGAAAUCAUUUGGGGGAUUGAAACUCGACCGAUUUCAUUUUAAAGUACAUGAACAAGGUAAAAUUCAGUUUCGUGUUAGGUUAUUGUUAGGUAAGACAGCCGUAAGUGCUAUCUUCUGCAUGCUUUCGUGGUUGCGUUUUGGACGCACAACAAACACAUUUUCAGGUUAGAAAUUGGCAGAAGAGGGCGGCACUUUACUGGAAAGCACUGUUUUCAUUGGCUCUCAUGCACCUACGGCUGUCUUGAAAACAAACUAUAGUCAUUUUUUGUGCACUUACGGGUUUCUCAUACGUCUCGUUUUCGUGAAAUUAGGAUGAAUUUUGCUGUUUUCGCUGUCUCAGUAAUUUCAUCUAAAAGAGUUUAGACGAAUUUUGAAGAAAACUCGAUUUCGAAAAUUUUGCACUUACGGCUCUCUUCGCUAUCACGGCAGAAUGGAAGACCCCUGUGAGCAUAUACCUCGUGGAAGAGAGGGGGACGAAGUGGCAAAUUUUGCCACCGAUUGACGGGCACCUCAAAAGGGAGGCGAUAUGCCGAUUUGAGAGUCAGGUCUUUGGCGCCUCGAUCCGAUCGAUAUGGAAGUCGUAGAUGUUUCCUUAUAAGAUGUUCCGUUUUGUGGCGCUCAUCUCAGAACAAUAGUCCGCGGAUUUUUCUUCAUUCCUCUUUGUCUCUAGUCGAUAAUUCUGAAAUUUUAGCAUCAUAGCUGAAGUGUAUUCAUUUCCCCCAAAGCGAUAAACAUUUCCGAAGGAAUUAAAUUGGUUUAAAUGGACCACUAGACAGGGUACGAAUUUAAGCAUUCUGAUGCAUGUUUCUUAACCAGAAUUUCACGUAGAACACGAUUCACACAAUGAAAAUUACCGAAAUCAACUCCUAACGAAGAUAUUAACGUUUUUAUUUCACAUUGGUUACGAGGAAUUUGAACUGCCCGCUCUCAAAAAACUCAAAGCUCAACGUGAGUCAAAUCGCGCACUACAACGGUUUCAGCAAGCUUCUCAAUCGAGCAAUGUUCAUUUCACACCAUGUGUUGUUCAAACUAUAAGCAAUUUGCUAUAGCUGGGCCAAAGCGUCAAAAUUGAGGUUGCCAGAUUUUUAAAUUGCAGAUACUGUCAUGAUAACGUUUAGCGCGCGAUGUGAAUCACGUAGAGCAUAGAGUUUUCAUGAGCGGGUGGUUUGAAUUUACGCAUCAAGAAUCAUUUAAUAUCUUUGUAAGGAGUUGAUAUCGGCAAUUUUCGUUGUGCGCAUCGUGUUCUACGUAAAAUUUUGGUUAAGAAACAUGUAUCAGAAUGCUAAAAUUCGUACUUUGUCCAGUGAUCCAUUCUGAAAUUUUAGUAUCAUAGCUGAAGUGUACUCGUAUUCAUUUCCCCUAAAGCGAUAAACAUUUCCGAAGGAAUUAAAUUGGUUUAAAUUGGGAGAAAUUAGGGGAAUCCACGGAAUAGCGUUUAUCGGCCAAAGAAUGCACCCAAUUAAUUCCAAACCUAAUCAUUUCUUAAGAAGACAUUUAGAAGACCAUUUUAAAUGAGAAAAUUACAUUUUAGACCCAGUGAUGAAGUUAGAGCGGGUAGGUGGCAACUUUCUUACCAUGUAGGUGCAGAAAAAUCUAACUUGCAAUUACAACUGCUCGAUUACCACCGUUCCUAAGUUAAAAGUGGCAUUUUCUCGUUCAAAAUAGGCUCCUGGGUGUCUUCUCGGAAGAUGGUCAAGUUUGAAAUUAUUUGGGCGCACUUUACAGCUAAAAAACACGGUUUCGGUGUUCGACCUAUUUCUAUCCAUUCUCGAAGCAAAGUAAUUUCUUUCGAAAUUUUAAACCCUUUAGGGGGAAGUAUAGACUUCAGUUAUGAUGCUGAGACUUCAGAAUUAUCUUUCGGGGACGAGAAGGAAUGGGAAAAAGGUCGGGGAGCAAGGUUUUGAAAUGAUCGCUUCAAAGACGGCGUAUCCUAACGUCUCCAGGUUUACCUAAUAUCACGUGAAAUUAGCCCUCCCAACCCACAUUUUAAGUAGUUUUAGCUUCAGGUUUGUAAAGUAUUUGAGUGUCUGAAAAUGUACAGUUUCACCAAUGUAUUGUGAUUUCUUUUAAUUCAAGUGAGCAUUUUCAGUUUGGUACAAUGCCAAGACAGUGCAAUGACAAGGAUAUGAUAUCCCACGAGGGGGGAACCAAAAAAAUUGGAAUUUUACUGUAAUUUGACAUCGAUGAGAAAUAUUGCUAGAAGAUGUAACUAAGAGCUAUGAAGAGUCAUUAGGCCAAAUUUCGACAUCUUAGCACAUUUUCUUUCAUUUUGGCGAGACUUGGCUUUAAGGGUGUUUGGCGACUUCGUCGUUUUUAAAGACGCAUAGGUCAAUUUCAGUAACAAUAUUUAGCGUUCGAUUUUUUUUCUCUUGCUCGAUAAAAAUACGGUUUCCUCUGUUAAUAUUUUGAAGUGCUGCUUCUAAAGGACGAAUCUUAUCAAUCACUUCGGUUAAAGUACGAUUUCUCGGUUUAAAAAUAUAAUCGGUUGUUUCGCUCGAAACUCCUGCAUGGCUCUUGACCGCCAUCGCCAUCGGCUAGAACCGAUGAAGACAUGCAAAAUGAAACAAAAUGUACUCCGACGUUGAAAUUUGGCUUAGUGUCACUUCAUAGCUUCUAGUUACGCAUGUCUUUGAGUUACACCUUUUAGCGGUGGAACCUGGAUAUUUUCCACACUUGCCAGGUUACAGCGAAAUUCUGUUUCUCUUUGGGUCCUCCUUCGUGCGUACGAUCAGAGCCAUCAAUGGGCCUGUUGCAAACUUUUGCUAGAGCAAAAAUAAGAGUUGUUCCUUAUAGAUUAUGCCUCAAAAAUCACGAUGAGCACAUUGGCAAAGUCUGAAAUGCACUCAUAAUUUCACAAUCUGCGUAAGAAAUUUGCGGUUUUUUUAGCUUCCCGCUUCAAAAACGAUACUACGGCACAGGUGAACAUUUUGUUAGAGGAGUCGUUCCAUCGUCGGCAAUACUCAUCAUGGCCGACGACAAUCCGCCAAAACACCUGUGAUGGGACGAGAUAACACCUGAACAGGAUUAGACCAGAUAACAAUUGGCGUGUUUACGUUCAUAUUUUCCUCGCCCGCCUUGAUUGACCUUGAACUCUCCUCGAAUUACGCGCGGAACUGCGCAAGCGUCGGCCAUGAUGAAUAUUGCCGACGAUGGAGCGACUCUUCUAACAAAAUGUUCACCUGUGCCGUAGUAUCGUUUUUGAAGCGGGAAGCUCAAAAAAACGCAAUUUUCUUACGCAGAUUGUAAAGUUAUGAGUGCAUUUCAGACUUUGCCAAUGCGCUCAUCGUGAUUUUUGAGGCAUUAUCUAUAGGAAACAACUCUUAUUUUUGCUCUAGCAAAAGUUUGCAACAGGCCCAUUUUGCGGUGGAUUUGUAGGAAAGUACGUUCCAAUCGAAAAGUAUCGUGCGAGGAAAAUGCAUCGUGUUCGGUUCCGAGAAAAAAAGAAAAAAAGAAACCAAAAAAUACAUAUUUUAAGAAAGCAAAUGUGCAGCAAGUUCGUAAGGCAGAA